Molecule: ribosomal RNA, 497 nt
Filed under: uncultured bacterium
Lineage: Bacteria
Description: partial 16S ribosomal RNA
Rfam family: Bacterial small subunit ribosomal RNA
Source: RNAcentral
GAUGAAUGCUGGCGGCGUGCCUAAUACAUGCAAGUCGAGCGAACGGACGAGAAGCUUGCUUCUCUGAUGUUAGCGGCGGACGGGUGAGUAACACGUGGAUAACCUACCUAUAAGACUGGGAUAACUUCGGGAAACCGGAGCUAAUACCGGAUAAUAUUUUGAACCGCAUGGUUCAAAAGUGAAAGACGGUCUUGCUGUCACUUAUAGAUGGAUCCGCGCUGCAUUAGCUAGUUGGUAAGGUAACGGCUUACCAAGGCAACGAUGCAUAGCCGACCUGAGAGGGUGAUCGGCCACACUGGAACUGAGACACGGUCCAGACUCCUACGGGAGGCAGCAGUAGGGAAUCUUCCGCAAUGGGCGAAAGCCUGACGGAGCAACGCCGCGUGAGUGAUGAAGGUCUUCGAAUCGUAAAACUCUGUUAUUAGGGAAGAACAUAUGUGUAAGUAACUGUGCACAUCUUGACGGUACCUAAUCAGAAAGCCACGGCUAACUACGUG